RNAcentral lists this ribosomal RNA (373 nucleotides) under uncultured Bacteroidales bacterium. RNAcentral's name for it is "bacterial SSU rRNA". It matches the Rfam family "Bacterial small subunit ribosomal RNA", at positions 42 to 414 of the family's 1533-position model. The record is from RNAcentral. Lineage: Bacteria; Pseudomonadati; Bacteroidota; Bacteroidia; Bacteroidales.
ACAGGCUUAACACAUGCAAGUCGAGGGAUAGCAGGGUAGCAAUACCGCUGACGACCGGCGCACGGGUGAGUAACACGUAUCCAACCUUCCCAUAACUCGGGGAUAGCCUUUCGAAAGAAAGAUUAAUACCCGAUAGUACUUUAUUAAGGCAUCUUAAGAAAGUUAAAGAUUUAUUGGUUAUGGAUGGGGAUGCGUUCCAUUAGAUAGUUGGUGAGGUAACGGCUCACCAAGUCUUCGAUGGAUAGGGGUUCUGAGAGGAAGGUCCCCCACAUUGGUACUGAGACACGGACCAAACUCCUACGGGAGGCAGCAGUGAGGAAUAUUGGUCAAUGGGCGAGAGCCUGAACCAGCCAAGUAGCGUGAAGGAUGACGG